Molecule: long non-coding RNA, 5170 nt
Organism: Dreissena polymorpha
Lineage: Eukaryota; Metazoa; Mollusca; Bivalvia; Myida; Dreissenidae
Exons: 3
Source: RefSeq, a predicted model, not a curated record
AGUAUUGUAUUUUCUGAAAAUUGAUAGCACCUAUCUAGAUAAACGCGUUAAAUAAAUACGUAAAUACAUUCAAUAAAUUAUUGUAUUUGUAUAAGUAGUAAGUAAACAGUAGAUCGAUCAGUAAGCAGCUGCUGAUGAACGUGUUUUGCAAACAUAUUGAUAACAAUCACACGUUUGGAAGGAAAACAAAUGGACGCCUGGAAACCGCUGCUUCGUGAUUUACAACGACAUAGAAUGCAUAUGCCACAACGAACAAACAUUUUAGACGUGGUUGGACCUACAAGACCAGACGACCAUGAGGUCACCGAAGCCAUACCACGGCGACCACAUGGGCAAAGUUGCAAACGGUGCAACUUGCCCGGAUGUACAAAGUCGUGCGCAAGGUGCAUGAAAGUGUUCUACUGCUCAAAGUCCUGCCAAACGUGCGACUGGCCGACGCACAAGCAGACGUGCAAAAGGUUGGGUGACACCGGUACCACCCAGUCUUCUGCAGCCAAUGGUGGGACAGAGUUGGUUUUACUGACAAUAAAGGAGAUCUUUCCUACAGAGGACGACCAUUUUUAUCAUGUUGUCGAGCACACCUUUCUGGUCCAGAGGCAGUUGAAGUAGUGGACUUAAAGAUCUGAAUAGGCUAACAAACACUUGGGUUGAGGGUGGCAUGUUAGUUGUACAUAUAACUCCGAUAAUUUAGUUACUUGUUACCAGUUCUUAUACAAUCAUACCAGGCUAGCGACCAUGUUAUUGACUGUUUUCAUUUAGAUUUAAAAUUUUUUAAAUAUUGUAUUUGUCAAAUAAAACGUUUUUUUUUCUGAAUCAUCUAUUUAAAAAUGUUUUCAAAAUAUGACCUAUGUAUUUAAAAAAAAUAUGUAUUACAUUUUAUAUCUUUUAUCUGCUGAUUUAUUAGCAAAUCAUUAAAUACGUUUGGUCGCAUAAAAUCUGUUGAAGCCUUAAUAAUCUACAAUAUUUUGUAAAUAAAAUUGUCGUUGUUUUAAUGUAUAUUAUGUUUAUUAUUGUGUAAUUGUUAUUAUGUUUUUGCAAUAUUGUUUUGUUUAUUUAUUAAUGUUGUUGAAAUUGAAAGUUUAAGGAAUGCAUGAAGUAACAAAAUAAUUAUUUUUUAUUAAACAUCAAUGGCGUUCCGUUAUUGUUAGACCUACACUAGUGUUAAAUCCGUGAAUGCGAUGGGGGUAUACCCAAAUGUUUCAUGUAGAAAAUAUUCAGAUAAUGCACACAUGCUAUGAGAAACGGGUAUCAGGCUAUAGAAAAUGGUAAGAACUGAAACAAAAGAGCCGGAUUAUAGUAUAACGGGGCUUAUGCUUGUGCGUAAAGUGUCAUACCAGAUUAGCUUGUGCAAUCCGCACAGGCUAAUCUUGGAUGACCCUACCGCCUUACAUGGUUUUCAUUAAUAAGUGAUUUCCUUUAAACGAGAAAUACCAUAUACGCGGAAAGUGGCGUCCCUGAUGAGCAUGUUCGGACUACAAAGGCUAAUCUGAGACGACACAUUAAGCAGGGGUUUUGCCAAAGCACGGCUCUUAUGUUUGUUCACUCGGUGAACUUAUCAUAUCUAUUACUAUUACUAGUAAAGAGAUUUCAAUAUACAUGCAAAGACAGUUCAAUUUGCAUAAUUCUAGUAUGCAGGGUUUUUCCGUUUGUAUGCUAAAUUGUAUUAAUGUUGUCAUUCAAUGUAAAAGAAAAUCACCUUAAAAUUGUAAUGUAUGACGCUUUUUAGGGCUUUGUUUUAUAUUAAAUGCACCUCUGACACUAUCGAUCGCUGAUGAAAAAUAACACUAUCCACACCACUUACAAUUAUAAUGAAUACAUGUAUAUGAUCAUACAACAAAGUGAUUGUACAAAGCAAUAAAGUUCAGACAUGUUAUACAAGAUAUGCUAAUAUAUAUACUUUUUUGGUUUACUUAAGAUUAAAAAAACCCCAAAAAACUGGGUUAAUAUGUUUUUUUCUUUGGUUGUUUGUGAUAGGUGUUUUUUUUUUAAAGAGUAAAGAAAAGAACAACAAAAGAAUAGUUAUGAAAAAUGAUGAGUUGUAUAAAGUGGGAAGAAAACAUAUUGGACUUGUUUUGUGUGUUUUGUUGUAUAUUCACAAUGAUCUUAUAAGAUUGAAAAAAAACAUACAAAAAUAUUUUAGAAAGAUAAACUAACAUUAGAGUGAAAUGUAUAUAAGUGGACAAACAUUAUGAGAAUUUAAUCCGAUUCCAUUUUUGUUCGAAGAUUUGUAAUGUGUCAUUACUGAGGGCUAUUUCUUUCUCAAUCUGGAUUUUUAGUUUAAGACUAUGGACAAAACAAUUAAAAUUUGGUACUUGUUUUUUGUACUUCAUGUUAAAGAUAAAAUAUUUCAUCAAUAUAAGAAUAAAAUUCACAAUAUUAUUACAGUCUUUUAAUUUCAAUGAGUAAAUUCCGAAACUGACAUUUAAGAAAGAUAGUUUAACGUUUAGUUGCUGUUGUUCAAGAAAAGAUACUAAUUGAUUCCAAAUAGGCUGGAUGUGUUUGCACUCCCAAAAAGUGCAUUUUUGCAUUUAAAGAGAAAUUUAUUUGUAGCUAUAACUCUAUGGAUGUAUUUAUAUUGAAAAUUUCUCAGUGUGCUUUCAAUAGUUGCUUUAUAUGGCAUGGUAAAUAUAUGUUUCCAAUUAAGUUCAUGUUCUCCGAAAAGGACUUGCCAUUUAUUUUGGGUUUUGGAGUUUUCUGUAGGGUUUUUAAUUUGUAGUGUGUAAAAUAUUUUAUUCGUUUUGUUUUUUCUUCCAAGUAUGUUUUCUACGAAUGUUGUUUGAGUACAUGAUGUAUUAUUUGUAUUGAUUUCAGAUUUAAUAUGUAUGGGUAUGCUUUUGAUUAGUGUGUAGUACUUCAGAAAAUUAUUUGAAGGUAUUCCGUAUAUGUGGCAUAUAUCAUCAAAAGAGUAGAACUCCUUAAUUCUGUAGUCAUAUAAUUGGUCGACAUAUUUAAUGCUCCGUUCAAACCAAUCUUUAUAGAAAAACGUCUUAUUGUUUGAAGUUAUGUCUUUAUUGUUCCAUAAAAUAGUUUUACUGCUGGUUUGGGUUUCUAGGUUAUGAGUGACAUCACUCCAUUCUGAUAGAACAUCAGACAGAAAUAUGUUUUCGUUUGCAAUUUCAUGUAAGAUAGUAUUGCUGAUGUUACAUUCAAAGAGUAAGGAUUUUAUUUUCAUAUUUUUUUAGGAUUUUCUGGUAGAAUAAUUUCCAUUUACUCGUAUUGGUAUUAUCUAGGUAUCUUUUAACCCAGCUGCAAUUGAUUGCAUUUAAGAAUGAGACAAUGCUCGUUAAUUGGAUACCUCCAUUUUCUACAGAUUGAAUUAACUGAGUUCGUUUUAUUUUACCAGGCUUACCGUCCCAUAUAAAGUUAAAUAUAGCUGAUUUUAUAUCGUUAAUAACAUCAUUUGGUGGAUUUGGGAGAACUGUUAAUACAUAAAUUAAUUUAGGAAGUGCAAACGUUUUCAAUACUGUGUUUUUUCCGAUUAGUGUAAGUUUACUGUGAUGCCAUGAUUUUAAGCAGUUUUUAAAAUUCUGUAAUUUAGGUAGUAUGCUUUUAAGAACUGUAUCCUUUUCAUUAUUUGUGAAAGUAAUUCCUAACGUUUUGGCUUCAUCGGAUGUCCAAUUAAAUUUCAUUUCUUUUUUAUAUUGGACAUUACUUUGUUUUAAUUUACCUACUCGUAGCACAGUACAUUUACCUUUGUUUAGUUUAAGACCCGAUGUCAUUCUGUAAUGGGUUAGCGACUCUAUUAGGUUAUGGAAAUAAUCGUAAUUGUCGUUUAAAAAAUAAGUUGCAUCGUCAGCAAAUAGGGACUAUUUGAUUUCUUCGUCAGGUUCUAGUGAUAUGCCUUUUAUGUGUUUAUUUGAUUGGAUGUGAUGUGAUAGAUACUCGAUGCAAAUAAUAAAUAGCGAUGAUGAGAGUGGAUAUCCUUGUCAAACCCCUCGUUCGAUGUUAAAACUGAAAAGAAGCCAUUGUUAAUGAUUAUACUGUUAAUACCGGUAUAGAAUAGUUUGACCCAUUGAAUGAGACUUUCACCAAAGUUCAUAUUUUCUAAGCAAGAGAACAUAAAUGAAUGAUCAAGCAAAUCGAAUGCCUUUUCAAAGUCUGCAAAGAAUAUUAGACCAGGAUUAUUUGAAUUGUUGAAUGCAUUCUUGGAUAAGACGAACGUUUUCACCAAUGUAACGUCCUUUUAUGAAACCAGAUUGAGGUUUUGAAAUGAUUGAUGGUAAUAUUUUUUUAUUCUGUUUGCUAUACUUUUAGUUGCAAUUUUAUAAUCAUUGUUUAGUAAACUAAUUGGGCGCCAGUUCGAUAAGGAUUCUAAGUUUUUUCCAGGUUUUGGAAUGAGUGAUAUUAUUCCUUGUUUUUGAAGCGUAGUAAGGUUUUCAUUAUUAUAUGAAUAGUUUAGUGAAUUAAUUAAAUGUGUUUUGAUAUCAUUCCAAAAUAUUUUAUAAAACUCAAUGGUGAUGCCAUCAGAUCCUGGACUUAUGUUAUUUUGCAUUUCUGUUAGUGCUAAUCCACAUUCAGAUUCAUCUAGUAAUCCGUCACACAAUAUUUUUUCUUCUUGAUUUAAAGAGUGAUGUGUAUUUUUAAAAAGGGUGUUAUUUUCAACAUUUUUUCGUUUAUAGAGGGUUUCAAAAAAUAAACGUUGUUAUUCUAGUAUUUGAGUUCUGUUUGUUAUAUCUUUGCCAUUGACUACUAAUUUGUGUACAAUUUUUUGUUCACUUCUACGUUUUUCAAUGUUUGUAAAGUAUUUUGUAUUUUUUUUCAUUGUGUUCAACAUGCUGUGCACGCGCUCUUAGUAUUAUUCCAUUGAGAUGUGUAUGAUAGAUUCCAUCUAAUAUUUGUUUUUUUAAUGUUAUUUCAUUUUCAAUGUCGGUGGUAUCAUUUGUGUUUGUUUGAUGCAAUUGUUUUUCAAGUGUUUCAAUGGUUUUGAUGGUUUCAGUUGUUUGUGUGUUUCUUUUUGUUUAAAUGAUGUGUAUCUAAUUGUUGUGUUACAAUUUAUUUAAUUCUUACUCUCAGAAAGAAUACGGCUAAUUUAUUGUUUUGUUUUGUGGAAUUGUCAGUAUUUAGUCUUCCGAUCACGUUAACUCUAUGCUUGUAACUACUUUGUAUUUUUUUGACGAGGAAAUUUGAUUUGUGUAUAUACAUCUAUUUGGUACUAAAUAUGAUAUAUUUA